GCCUCUGUAGCAUAGUAGCUAUUGCGGCUGCCUAGUAUUGAUUGAUUGCUGAGAUUCUCAACAUCAUCGAACGAAAGCAGCAGGUCGCGAGUGCAAUUCUCGCCAGAGGCU
Molecule: transfer RNA, 111 nt
Filed under: Candidatus Woesearchaeota archaeon
Lineage: Archaea; Nanobdellati; Candidatus Woesearchaeota
Description: tRNA-Thr
Rfam family: tRNA
About the family: Transfer RNA (tRNA) molecules are approximately 80 nucleotides in length. Their secondary structure includes four short double-helical elements and three loops (D, anti-codon, and T loops).
Source: RNAcentral